Kluyvera ascorbata ATCC 33433 is the source of this 111-nucleotide non-coding RNA. Lineage: Bacteria; Pseudomonadati; Pseudomonadota; Gammaproteobacteria; Enterobacterales; Enterobacteriaceae. The record is from Rfam.
CUUACCGGAGGCUGUAUGGAUCCCGAUCCCACCCGUCUCUCCAACUGGAGAGUAACUUUCCGGUAAGCCAGCUUUCGCUGCCUUGCCGAUGAUGUGAGGCAGUGACACGUC